RNAcentral lists this ribosomal RNA (506 nucleotides) under uncultured bacterium. RNAcentral describes it as "partial 16S ribosomal RNA". It matches the Rfam family "Bacterial small subunit ribosomal RNA", at positions 29 to 523 of the family's 1533-position model. The record is from RNAcentral.
AGUGAACGCUGGCGGUAGGCCUAACACAUGCAAGUCGAACGGCAGCACAGAGGAGCUUGCUCCUUGGGUGGCGAGUGGCGGACGGGUGAGGAAUACAUCAGAAUCUACUCUGUCGUGGGGGAUAACGUAGGGAAACUUACGCUAAUACCGCAUACGACCUACGGGUGAAAGCAGGGGACCUUCGGGCCUUGCGCGAUUGAAUGAGCCGAGGUCGGAUUAGCUAGUUGGCGGGGUAAAGGCCCACCAAGGCGCCGAUCCGUAGCUGGUCUGUGAGGAUGAUACACUACACGAGAACUGAGACACGUUCCAGACGCCUACGGGAGGCAGCAGUGGGGAAUAUUGGGCAAUGGGCGCAAGCCUGAGCCAGCCAUACAGCGUGGGUGAAGAAGGCCUUCGGGUUGUAAAGCCCUUUUGUUGGGAAAGAAGUCCAGCGGGCUAAUACCCGGUUGGGAUGACGGUACCCAAAGAAUAAGCACCGGCUAACUUCGUGCCAGCCGCCGCAGUAA